RNAcentral lists this non-coding RNA (30 nucleotides) under Rattus norvegicus (Norway rat). The record is from RNAcentral. Lineage: Eukaryota; Metazoa; Chordata; Mammalia; Rodentia; Muridae.
UGAAAUAAAGGUGACAGUCUGUUUCUACAG